RNAcentral lists this unclassified non-coding RNA (1776 nucleotides) under Hevea brasiliensis (rubber tree). Lineage: Eukaryota; Viridiplantae; Streptophyta; Magnoliopsida; Malpighiales; Euphorbiaceae. The record is from RNAcentral.
UGAUAAGUGGAGAUUGGAGAAGGAAAUUUGACAUCAAAUAUGGAAAUUCACAACUACUUCUCAUAACAAAAAGGACCUCUUCAAGGGUCUUAACUUGUUCAUUCAUCUCAAUUGGAACAUGUCAGAUUCAACAACAAAAUCAACAUGAACCCACCACAUUAUGAAGUUAACAUUGGAGGGAAACUGCAAAGUCACAUCUCAUAUGAGUUCUUGAUUUACAAUAUGAACAAAGGAUUGAAGUAGAAAAUAGAAUAAAAAAGCAAUCAGGUAAACCAUCACAUCAGACAUCUAGAGGUGCUCAUGCACAGCUAUCUACUGCAGAUAACAGUUGAAGGCAAUAGAUGCUGAAAGUGGUAAUGAUAUACAAGAAUCUAACCUUCCAAGGACGAUCAAGUACUAAAACCCUGUUUUGCCUUGAGAACAAGCUCUUCAGUUGUGGUGCCAAUAAUCUCAUUGGCACGUUUUAGGCCAACACAAUAAUACCGUCCAAGAGUAUCCUGCAUUCAAAGAAAUUUUAGAGACAGAUGAAACACAAACAUCACACGCAAAACAUUGCAUAAAGAGUACUCCUAAUGUUCAAAGCCUAUGUUACAUCCUAAGCUGAUAACAUAAUCAAAAUUCAAACAAACAAGCUUUUCACUUGUGCUAGUCCCUGAAAAGUGUGAAUCACUAACUGUCUUUAGGGCUCCACGCAAAUACAUGAACCUUUUGUUUUGUCAUAGACAAUAAUUCCCUUGUCAUCCCAUAAACCCUACACUUGAACCUAAGACAAGCCUUUCAUUAGCAUACUCCACUCAGGAAGGGGAAACCCCAAAAGUACCAAUCUAAGAAAUAUGCAACAAAAAUGAAGUACCGGCUCAAAUGCCUCUUUGAGUGUCUUUAUAACUAUUAGCCCAAUGAUGACAACGUGAUCCAACUCAACAAAUAUAGUCCUACGUAAAACGCCACGCGAAACCAGUUAGGCACUCAUCUUAAAACAACUUGAAGCUGAUAUCUAACUUGACAUUUUUGGAUGCCUAAAGAAACAUUUCAAUAACAAUUAUAAGCAACUAGAAGUACAUUCUCGUUUUGGCAGAGAGAAAACAGCACAUUGUAAUACAGUUUCUCACCCGAGCAACAAUGCCCAACUUCUCUAACUUCUGAACUGCAUCAUCCACAUCAAAAUUACAGCUCUCUCCAAACUCUUCUUGAAUUAAUUCCUCACACCGCAGAUCCAAAUCCUAUUUCACAUCAUCUCAAAGUUGUAUAUAAGUAAACAUACAAGAACUUCAAAUACAAAGAAAGGACAAGCAGAUAUACACACCUGCAUUGUAGCCUUGCCCUGUUCCAUCAAUAUGAAGAAUGAGAUAAGAACCUCUUUGACCUGAAAUAUCAAGUUGAUUUAACCAUCUGGAAAGACAUAAAUAAAUAUAGGACAUGCUUCAAUCCUGAAUCAGGUCAGUCCUUUCAAAUGAUCAAGUGUUGACAUGUUACUAUGACUUCUUAAUUACAAGAAACAUAUUUUUAAUCUAUCCAUCUAUAAUAUUUUUAAUUAAGCACACUUUUUGCCUUCAAUUGGGUGGGCAAUUGUCAGUCCAGAGCUUUUACUGCACUAUAUUGACAUCAGUAUAUUAUUUAUUUAUUUAUUUUGGACUUUGAUUAAUUCAUUGGGCUUAUUCAAUGGUGAAUGCACCAUUUUUAAUUGUGGAUUUGGGAACCUCUCAUGUUAACAAUAAAAUUAUAUGCCAAGCUUAAACAAUCAAAUUUGUUGAAUUUGUUAAGAUUUAAGAAUAAGAA